Molecule: ribosomal RNA, 398 nt
Filed under: uncultured beta proteobacterium
Lineage: Bacteria; Pseudomonadati; Pseudomonadota; Betaproteobacteria
Description: bacterial SSU rRNA
Rfam family: Bacterial small subunit ribosomal RNA
Source: RNAcentral
GAGUUUGAUCGUGGCUCAGAUUGAACGCUGGCGGCAUGCCUUACACAUGCAAGUCGAACGGUAACAGGUUAAGCUGACGAGUGGCGAACGGGUGAGUAAUGUAUCGGAACGUGCCCAGUUGUGGGGGAUAACUGCUCGAAAGAGCAGCUAAUACCGCAUACGACCUGAGGGUGAAAGCGGGGGAUCGCAAGACCUCGCGCAAUUGGAGCGGCCGAUAUCAGAUUAGGUAGUUGGUGGGGUAAAGGCCCACCAAGCCAACGAUCUGUAGCUGGUCUGAGAGGACGACCAGCCACACUGGGACUGAGACACGGCCCAGACUCCUACGGGAGGCAGCAGUGGGGAAUUUUGGACAAUGGACGCAAGUCUGAUCCAGCCAUGCCGCGUGCGGGAAGAAGGCC